CGCACGGGUGAGUAACACGUAUCCAACCUGCCGUCUACUCUUGGACAGCCUUCUGAAAGGAAGAUUAAUACAAAAUGGCAUCAUGAGUCCGCAUGUUCACAUGAUUAAAGGUAUUCCGGUAGACGAUGGGGAUGCGUUCCAUUAGAUAGUAGGCGGGGUAACGGCCCACCUAGUCUUCGAUGGAUAGGGGUUCUGAGAGGAAGGUCCCCCACAUUGGAACUGAGACACGGUCCAA
RNAcentral lists this ribosomal RNA (235 nucleotides) under uncultured bacterium. RNAcentral's name for it is "partial 16S ribosomal RNA". It matches the Rfam family "Bacterial small subunit ribosomal RNA", at positions 99 to 334 of the family's 1533-position model. The record is from RNAcentral.